CCUACGGGUGGCUGCAGUCGAGAAUCUUCGGCAAUGGACGCAAGUCUGACCGAGCGACGCCGCGUGCGGGAUGAAGGCCUUCGGGUUGUAAACCGCUGUCAGAGGGGAGGAAAGCUUCGGCUUGACUGAACCUCAGAGGAAGCACGGGCUAAGUUCGUGCCAGCAGCCGCGGUAACACGAACCGUGCGAACGUUAUUCGGAAUCACUGGGCUUAAAGGGUGCGUAGGCGGCUUUGCAAGUGGGAUGUGAAAUCCCUCAGCUCAACUGAGGAACUGCGUUCCAAACUGCAAAGCUAGAGGGAGACAGAGGUAAGCGGAACUGAUGGUGGAGCGGUGAAAUGCGUUGAUAUCAUCAGGAACACCAGUGGCGAAGGCGGCUUACUGGGUCUCUUCUGACGCUGAGGCACGAAAGCUAGGGUAGCGAACGGGAUUAGAUACCCU
This 440-nucleotide ribosomal RNA is filed under the name uncultured bacterium. RNAcentral describes it as "bacterial SSU rRNA". It matches the Rfam family "Bacterial small subunit ribosomal RNA", at positions 338 to 788 of the family's 1533-position model. The record is from RNAcentral.